RNAcentral lists this ribosomal RNA (468 nucleotides) under uncultured bacterium. Its description in RNAcentral is "partial 16S ribosomal RNA". It matches the Rfam family "Bacterial small subunit ribosomal RNA", at positions 28 to 507 of the family's 1533-position model. The record is from RNAcentral.
GACGAACGCUGGCGGCGUGCUUAACACAUGCAAGUCGAACGGAAAGGCCCUGCUUUUGUGGGGUGCUCGAGUGGCGAACGGGUGAGUAACACGUGAGUAACCUGCCCUUGACUUUGGGAUAACUUCAGGAAACUGGGGCUAAUACCGGAUAGGAGCUCCUGCUGCAUGGUGGGGGUUGGAAAGUUUCGGCGGUUGGGGAUGGACUCGCGGCUUAUCAGCUUGUUGGUGGGGUAGUGGCUUACCAAGGCUUUGACGGGUAGCCGGCCUGAGAGGGUGACCGGCCACAUGGGGACUGAGAUACGGACCAGACUCCUACGGGAGGCAGCAGUGGGGAAUAUUGCACAAUGGGCGGAAGCCUGAUGCAGCAACGCCGCGUGCGGGAUGACGGCCUUCGGGGUGUAAACCGCUUUCGCCUGUGACGAAGCGUGAGUGACGGUAAUGGGUAAAGAAGCACCGGCUAACUACGUG